Molecule: transfer RNA, 71 nt
Filed under: Thermoleophilia bacterium
Lineage: Bacteria; Bacillati; Actinomycetota; Thermoleophilia
Also listed under: 2 other names
Description: tRNA-Gln
Rfam family: tRNA
About the family: Transfer RNA (tRNA) molecules are approximately 80 nucleotides in length.
Source: RNAcentral
UGCGGGGUCGUCUAACGGCAGGACACCCGGCUCUGGACCGGGCAGUCUAGGUUCGAAUCCUAGCCCCGCAG